UUUUAGGGGUGCAUCGCCGGCAUCGGCCGGCGGGGCUGAGAUCAAACCCUUUUAACUUGAUCCGGUUAGUACCGGCGUAAGAAACAU
RNAcentral lists this non-coding RNA (87 nucleotides) under human gut metagenome. The record is from RNAcentral.